UCAAGCGCGAGCUUGGUGUUGGGGACCGCCCCGGGAGACCGGCGGCGGCCCUUGAAUCCAUCGGCGGUGCUGGUAGCAGCCCGGAGCGCAGCAGACAUGCGGCUUCCCGGGCGGCCCGGCGCCCGCCGGACAACGACGAGACCCCCCAAACGUCGACCUCGAAUCAGGUAGGGAUACCCGCUGAACUUAAGCAUAUCAAUAAGCGGAGGAAAAGAAACCAACAGGGAUUGCCUCAGUAACGGCGAGUGAAGCGGCAGCAGCUCAAAUUUGAAAUCUGGCGCCCCCCGGCGUCCGAGUUGUAAUUUGCAGAGGAUGCUUCGGCGUAGGCGCCGCCCAAAGUUCCUUGGAACGGGACGUCGCAGAGGGUGAGAGCCCCGUGUUCGGGCGGAUGCCUUCGCCGUGUGAAGCUCCUUCGACGAGUCGAGUUGUUUGGGAAUGCAGCUCAAAACGGGAGGUAAAUUUCUUCCAAAGCUAAAUACCGGCCGGAGACCGAUAGUGCACAAGUAGAGUGAUCGAAAGAUGAAAAGCACUUUGGAAAGAGAGUCAAACAGCGCGUGAAAUUGUUGAAAGGGAAGCGCUUGCGGUCAGAACUUGGCCGCCGUUGCUCGGGGAGGCCUCGCGCCUCCCUCGCUCUUCGGCGGCUGGGCCAGCAUCGGUUCGGGCGGCUCGAGAAAGGCCGCGGGAACGUAGCUCCCUCCGGGGAGUGUUAUAGCCCGCGGCGCAAUGGGGCCCGCCCGGAUCGAGGU
Molecule: ribosomal RNA, 746 nt
Filed under: Dothideomycetes sp. genotype 277
Lineage: Eukaryota; Fungi; Ascomycota; Dothideomycetes
Description: eukaryotic LSU rRNA
Rfam family: Eukaryotic large subunit ribosomal RNA (bases 154-746)
Source: RNAcentral